GAUGAACGCUGGCGGUGUGCCUAAUACAUGCAAGUCGAGCGAACGGACGAGAAGCUUGCUUCUCUGAUGUUAGCGGCGGACGGGUGAGUAACACGUGGAUAACCUACCUAUAAGACUGGGAUAACUUCGGGAAACCGUAGCUAAUACCGGAUAAUAUUUUGAACCGCAUGGUUCAAAAGUGAAAGACGGUCUUGCUGUCACUUAUAGAUGGAUCCGCGCUGCAUUAUCUAGUUGGUAAGGUAACGGCUUACCAAGGCAACGAUGCAUAGCCGACCUGAGAGGGUGAUCGGCCACACUGGAACUGAGACACGGUCCAGACUCCUACGGGAGGCAGCAGUAGGGAAUCUUCCGCAAUGGGCGAAAGCCUGACGGAGCAACGCCGCGUGAGUGAUGAAGGUCUUCGGAUCGUAAAACUCUGUUAUUAGGGAAGAACAUAUGUGUAAGUAACUGUGCACAUCUUGACGGUACCUAAUCAGAAAGCCACGGCUAACUACGUG
Molecule: ribosomal RNA, 497 nt
Filed under: uncultured bacterium
Lineage: Bacteria
Description: partial 16S ribosomal RNA
Rfam family: Bacterial small subunit ribosomal RNA
Source: RNAcentral